GGGGGUUAGUCUCCACGUGACCCGUGUUUACGUUAAGUGAUUUCGCUGCUUCUCUUCGUGUACAGCUCCCACGUCAGAUGAAAACAAAACGGAUUUCUGUGGCCGGGAGCUAACAAGUGAAUUAAAAUGCGUUCACAUAAUUACAGAGGGCAAAAAUACAUUAUUAAUUUCAGUUUCUGAUUUUAUUUUCUUUCCAAGUUAGUAGCAGUCAAGCAUUAAUCGCCUUGCAGAAGAAUGAAGUUAUUUUUGCAAGUUUGCUAAAGAAAUUCCGCUGAGGCAAUCAUUUUAUUUGAAACGAAGUGUUUCAUUUAACAAUUUUGGGUACUUCCAACUGUUCGGUGAAUUUCAAGUGCACGUUAUCAUCUUCUGCCAUGUAUGGCAUUAUGCCAUAAUAAAGAACCAAACAUGAGGUCGUAGAGUACUGGUACUCCAAGAAAAUUUACAUCCCAAAAAUCACACUGAGAAGCUUAAUAUCAGAUGGGACCUACUUCAUUGUGAAUCUGGAAAAAACCAAUGUGCACUUCAAGCCGAAUUAUGCAUUUUAGUAUGAUUCACGAAAUUUUGAUGCCUUUUGGAGUAUCCUCUGAUGCCCUGUUUCUUUUAUGGUGUAGUGUAAGCUCUCUUAGUGCUUUAUACACACGAACAUGCGGGCUUCCUACACCACUGCAGUUGCACACGCACAAUAAUUCGUUUUUGGCGCUCUGUGGCAACUGGUAAAUCGAACCUAUAACUAACAGUAUUGCGAACGGUGGUUAGAAAAGCGUUACUUUCAAAGUAAAUUUCUUUUUACGCAAGAUGAAUUAUGUUACGUGUGUGAAAGUGGGAUGGAUAUCUAAAUCACAGAGCAUUCGAAACUGAACAGUUUGAGGACCAGCCACUUCAAGAAUUUCGAGCCGAGGCAUUUAUGUCACAAUUUUAAAUUUACUGGCACAUUUGUGUGAUGUAUCUUAAAGUAUAUCACACCAAAAAAAGACCAAUAUUACACGUGAAAGCUUAGCUUUUCUUGUAGAUAUACGGUACUGUGUACAUUAAUGUAAACCGUUAACUUUUCCUCUUGUGUGUUCGCGCUAUGUAACCAGUAAUCUUGCUAGUGGCUGGCUAUAACACGUGCCCUAUGCUCUGAAUAGCUGCUGUCAUCAGCUGGCGAGAUCUCGUGGCUUGAGAUAUGACUCGCUUACAAAAGGACAUCACGACCUCGGUUGCAACGCUCCGGAAACUAACAAGCUGUGUUUGGUGCAAUUCGAAUUUAUACUUUCGUAAUACGAAAAUAUGCAGCGUAUAUGUUGCUGUAGAUCAAAGGUCUUUCCAAAACUUCUCUGCUCCGGCUUUUCUUUUUUUUUUCCGGGAAGUUCUACGCGAUUAUAUAAAACGUUAACCAUUCAAAGGAUUGAUAAGUUUUACAGUUCCGAGGGAACUUUUUCUGUGCUAAGUGACAGUAGGUCGCCGGGGAAAAAGCAUAUUUUUUAAACGGGAUAUCCGGGAAUAAACCGGGAAUUUUUUUUCCUUGUCCCUGUAUACACCCUGAACUAUCUAUUUUUAAAUAUUUAAUAGUCACUGCUUCAUUAAUUACCUUACAAUUACGUUUACGGUAGUUGAUCUGUCAGGCUGGUAGAUUUUAUUUUAUAGUUGCGAUACUGGUUAAUUGUGUAGCCAAGCUAUAGUGCCCUCUGCUGGCCUCAGUUUCCUUGCACAAAUGCCAAACACAUUCAGAUCAUCACCAGCACUAUGUACCUACAUGUAUAAUUGAUGUUGAUACUACAUCAGAAUAUUUUAUGGUCUGAAGAUGGUAGUAGCCGAAACCAGUCAUAGUGAAAUGUAAAAAUUUAUAUUAUUCUGACGGAUCUGUAAAAUAAAGAAUGCUUUCAAAAUAACAAUUUUCAGCUGAUGCUGGGAUGAAUGACAAAAAUAUUUCAUGAAAGGCUAGAUAACAAUUUUGUAGUUUGCCUGGUAUUAAGAAGAGGGAAGGGGACUAAUAUGACGAGAAUGCUUAAAAAUGUAUGUCACGCCACUGUAUUCUGUUGAAUGUUAUAUGCUAAAAUAUUAAGUGUUUGUGUGGUUGACUAAUUGUAACACCUUAAUAUGCACUUUGUGUAUCAUUGAAUAAAGUUUGUUGAA
Schistocerca cancellata (South American locust) is the source of this 2115-nucleotide long non-coding RNA. RefSeq lists it as uncharacterized. Lineage: Eukaryota; Metazoa; Arthropoda; Insecta; Orthoptera; Acrididae. The transcript has 3 exons. The record is from RefSeq and is a predicted model, not a curated record.